AAAUUGAAGAGUUUGAUCAUGGCUCAGAUUGAACGCUGGCGGCAGGCCUAACACAUGCAAGUCGAACGGUAACAGGAAACAGCUUGCUGUUUCGCUGACGAGUGGCGGACGGGUGAGUAAUGUCUGGGAAACUGCCUGAUGGAGGGGGAUAACUACUGGAAACGGUAGCUAAUACCGCAUAACGUCG
RNAcentral lists this ribosomal RNA (187 nucleotides) under Escherichia coli. RNAcentral describes it as "partial 16S ribosomal RNA". It matches the Rfam family "Bacterial small subunit ribosomal RNA", at positions 1 to 181 of the family's 1533-position model. Lineage: Bacteria; Pseudomonadati; Pseudomonadota; Gammaproteobacteria; Enterobacterales; Enterobacteriaceae. RNAcentral also lists the same sequence under 1 other name. The record is from RNAcentral.